Molecule: ribosomal RNA, 1372 nt
Filed under: uncultured bacterium
Lineage: Bacteria
Description: bacterial SSU rRNA
Rfam family: Bacterial small subunit ribosomal RNA
Source: RNAcentral
GAUGAACGCUGGCGGCGUGCCUAAUACAUGCAAGUCGAGCGAACGGACGAGAAGCUUGCUUCUCUGAUGUUAGUGGCGGACGGGUGAGUAACACGUGGAUAACCUACCUAUAAGACUGGGAUAACUUCGGGAAACCGGAGCUAAUACCGGAUAAUAUUUUGAACCGCAUGGUUCAAAAGUGAAAGACGAUCUUGCUGUCACUUAUAGAUGGAUCCGCGCUGCAUUAGCUAGUUGGUAAGGUAACGGCUUACCAAGGCAACGAUGCAUAGCCGACCUGAGAGGGUGAUCGGCCACACUGGAACUGAGACACGGUCCAGACUCCUACGGGAGGCAGCAGUAGGGAAUCUUCCGCAAUGGGCGAAAGCCUGACGGAGCAACGCCGCGUGAGUGAUGAAGGUCUUCGGAUCGUAAAACUCUGUUAUUAGGGAAGAACAUAUGUGUAAGUAACUGUGCACAUCUUGACGGUACCUAAUCAGAAAGCCACGGCUAACUACGUGCCAGCAGCCGCGGUAAUACGUAGGUGGCAAGCGUUAUCCGGAAUUAUUGGGCGUAAAGCGCGCGUAGGCGGUUUUUUAAGUCUGAUGUGAAAGCCCACGGCUCAACCGUGGAGGGUCAUUGGAAACUGGAAAACUUGAGUGCAGAAGAGGAAAGUGGAAUUCCAUGUGUAGCGGUGAAAUGCGCAGAGAUAUGGAGGAACACCAGUGGCGAAGGCGACUUUCUGGUCUGUAACUGACGCUGAUGUGCGAAAGCGUGGGGAUCAAACAGGAUUAGAUACCCUGGUAGUCCACGCCGUAAACGAUGAGUGCUAAGUGUUAGGGGGUUUCCGCCCCUUAGUGCUGCAGCUAACGCAUUAAGCACUCCGCCUGGGGAGUACGACCGCAAGGUUGAAACUCAAAGGAAUUGACGGGGACCCGCACAAGCGGUGGAGCAUGUGGUUUAAUUCGAAGCAACGCGAAGAACCUUACCAAAUCUUGGCAUCCUUUGACAACUCUAGAGAUAGAGCCUUCCCCUUCGGGGGACAAAGUGACAGGUGGUGCAUGGUUGUCGUCAGCUCGUGUCGUGAGAUGUUGGGUUAAGUCCCGCAACGAGCGCAACCCUUAAGCUUAGUUGCCAUCAUUAAGUUGGGCACUCUAAGUUGACUGCCGGUGACAAACCGGAGGAAGGUGGGGAUGACGUCAAAUCAUCAUGCCCCUUAUGAUUUGGGCUACACACGUGCUACAAUGGACAAUACAAAGGGCAGCGAAACCGCGAGGUCAAGCAAAUCCCAUAAAGUUGUUCUCAGUUCGGAUUGUAGUCUGCAACUCGACUACAUGAAGCUGGAAUCGCUAGUAAUCGUAGAUCAGCAUGCUACGGUGAAUACGUUCCCGGGUCU